RNAcentral lists this microRNA precursor (136 nucleotides) under Oryza brachyantha (malo sina). RNAcentral describes it as "MIR812 microRNA precursor family". It matches the Rfam family "MIR812 microRNA precursor family", at positions 35 to 171 of the family's 205-position model. Lineage: Eukaryota; Viridiplantae; Streptophyta; Magnoliopsida; Poales; Poaceae. The record is from Rfam by way of RNAcentral.
UGACUCUUCGUCUUAUUUAAAAAAAUUUUGCAAUUGAUAUUUUUGUUUUUAUUAGAUGAUAAAUCAUGAAUAGGACUUUACGCGUGACUAAUUUUUUAAAAUUUUCUAAAAAUUUUUCAAAUAAGACGGAUGGUCA